AACGCUGGCGGCAUGCCUUACACAUGCAAGCCGAACGGCAGCACGGGAGCAAUCCUGGUGGCGAGUGGCGAACGGGUGAGUAAUAUAUCGGAACGUGCCCAGUCGUGGGGGAUAACGCAGCGAAAGCUGUGCUAAUACCGCAUACGAUCUAUGGAUGAAAGCGGGGGAUCGCAAGACCUCGCGCGAUUGGAGCAGCCGAUAUCAGAUUAGCUAGUUGGUGGGGUAAAAGCCCACCAAGGCGACGAUCUGUAGCUGGUCUGAGAGGACGACCAGCCACACUGGAACUGAGACACGGUCCAGACUCCUACGGGAGGCAGCAGUGGGGAAUUUUGGACAAUGGGCGCAAGCCUGAUCCAGCAAUGCCGCGUGCAGGAUGAAGGCCUUCGGGUUGUAAACUGCUUUUGUACGGAACGAAACGGUCCUUUCUAAUACAGGGGGCUAAUGACGGUACCGUAAGAAUAAGCACCGGCUAACUACGUGCCAGCAGCCGCGGUAAUACGUAGGGUGCGAGCGUUAAUCGGAAUUACUGGGCGUAAAGCGUGCGCAGGCGGUGAUGUAAGACAGAUGUGAAAUCCCCGGGCUCAACCUGGGACCUGCAUUUGUGACUGCAUCGCUGGAGUGCGGCAGAGGGGGAUGGGAUUCGAU
Molecule: ribosomal RNA, 645 nt
Filed under: uncultured Comamonadaceae bacterium
Lineage: Bacteria; Pseudomonadati; Pseudomonadota; Betaproteobacteria; Burkholderiales; Comamonadaceae
Description: bacterial SSU rRNA
Rfam family: Bacterial small subunit ribosomal RNA
Source: RNAcentral